UAAAUAAAUUUUUAUAGUUUAAGAAUUUUAUUAUAAAUUUAUUUUACAUAUAAAUUUUAGUGUUAAAUUUUAGUUAUUUUAAUAAUAAAUAAAAAAUUUGUAGUAAUUAAUAUUAAAAAUUUAAGAAAUUAAGAUUUAGUAAUAUUUAAAUUAAUAACAAAUUUUGUGCCAGCAGUUGCGGUUAUACAAAAAUUAAAUUAAAUUUUAUUAGUAAUUAAUAAGUAAAUAAAAAUUUUAAAUAAAUAUUUUAUUAUUAAGUGAAAUUUUAAUUAAAUAAAAAUUAAAUUUUAUUUUAUGAUUUAAUAAAUUUUAAUUAAAAACUAGGAUUAGAUACCCUAUUAUUAAAAAUUUAAAUUAAAUAUACUAAAAUAGUAAAUAAUUAUUUAUUGAAACUUAAAUAAUUUGGCGGUAUUUUAGUUUAUUUAGAGGAAUCUGUUUAAUAAUUGAUAAUCCACGAAUAAAUUUACUUAAUUUAUAAUUUUGUAUAUCGUUGUUAAAAAAAUAUUUUCAAAUAAAUAUAAUAUUUUAAAUUUAUAAUAUAAAAUUAAGUCAGAUCAAGAUGCAGAUUAUAAUUAAGAAUAUAAUGGAUUACAUUAAAUUUAUUUAAAUGAAUAUUAAUUUGUAAUAAUUAAUUGAAAUUGGAUUUAAAUGUAAUUUUAUUUAAUUUAAUAAAAUGAUUAUAAAUUAAAAUAUGUACAUAUUGCCCGUCGCUUUCAUAAAUAAAUUGAAAUAAGUCGUAACAAAGUAGAGGUACUGGAAAGUGUUUCUAGAAAAA
Molecule: non-coding RNA, 775 nt
Filed under: Evergestis junctalis
Lineage: Eukaryota; Metazoa; Arthropoda; Insecta; Lepidoptera; Crambidae
Source: RNAcentral